GCGAAAUUUAGUAGCGAAGUUCCUGAUUCCACACUGCCAAGAAAAGCCUCUAGCGAGGUGAGAGGUGCCCGUACCGCAAACCGACACAGGUAGGCGAGGAGAGAAUCCUAAGGUGAUCGAGAGAACUCUCGUUAAGGAACUCGGCAAAAUGACCCCGUAACUUCGGGAGAAGGGGUGCUUCUUAGGGUGUUAAAGCCCCGAGAAGCCGCAGUGAAUAGGCCCAGGCGACUGUUUAGCAAAAACACAGGUCUCUGCGAAGCCGUAAGGCGAAGUAUAGGGGCUGACGCCUGCCCGGUGCUGGAAGGUUAAGAGGAGCGCUUAGCGUAAGCGAAGGUGCGAAUUGAAGCCCC
Molecule: ribosomal RNA, 350 nt
Filed under: Escherichia coli
Lineage: Bacteria; Pseudomonadati; Pseudomonadota; Gammaproteobacteria; Enterobacterales; Enterobacteriaceae
Description: partial 23S ribosomal RNA
Rfam family: Bacterial large subunit ribosomal RNA
Source: RNAcentral